Molecule: ribosomal RNA, 460 nt
Filed under: uncultured bacterium
Lineage: Bacteria
Description: partial 16S ribosomal RNA
Rfam family: Bacterial small subunit ribosomal RNA
Source: RNAcentral
CCUACGUGAGGCAGCAGUGAGGAAUAUUGGUCAAUGGGCGGGAGCCUGAACCAGCCAAGUCGCGUGAGGGAAGAUGGUACUGUGGAUUGUAAACCUCUUUAGGCAGGGAGCAAUGCCGGGCACGCGUGCCCGGAGGGGGAGUACCCGAAGAAUAAGCAUCGGCUAACUCCGUGCCAGCAGCCGCGGUAAUACGGCGGAUGCAAGCGUUAUCCGGGUUUAUUGGGUUGAAAGGAUGCGGGGGCGGAGUUUUAAGUCAGCGGUAAAAUGUCCGGGCUCAACCCGGGCCGGCCGUUGAAACUGGGGAUCUUGAGUGGGCGAGAAGUAUGCGGAAUGCGUGGUGUAGCGGUGAAAUGCAUAGAUAUCACGCAGAACUCCGAUUGCGAAGGCAGCAUACCGGCGCCCGACUGACGCUGAGGCACGAAAGCGUGGGGAUCGAACAGGAUUAGAUACCCUUGUAGUC